UGGAUCCAGACUUUGAUCCUGGCUCAGGAUGAACGCUAGCUACAGGCUUAACACAUGCAAGUCGAGGGGCAGCGAUGAAGAAAGCUUGCUUUCUUCAGGCGGCGACCGGCGCACGGGUGAGUAACGCGUAUCGAACCUGCCUCAUACUCAGGAAUAGCCUUGCGAAAGUAAGAUUAAUGCCCGAUGUUAUUAGGAUAUCACAUGAUGUUUUAAUUAAAGAUUUAUCGGUAUGAGAUGGCGAUGCGUCCCAUUAGUUUGUUGGCGGGGUAACGGCCCACCAAGACAUCGAUGGGUAGGGGUUCUGAGAGGAAGGUCCCCCACAUUGGAACUGAGACACGGUCCAAACUCCUACGGGAGGCAGCAGUGAGGAAUAUUGGUCAAUGGACGCAAGUCUGAACCAGCCAAGUAGCGUGCAGGAAGACGGCCCUCUGGGUUGUAAACUGCUUUUAGUUGGGAAUAAAGUGCAUCACGUGUGAUGUUUUGUAUGUACCAUCAGAAAAAGGACCGGCUAAUUCCGUGCCAGCAGCCACGGUAAUACGGAAGGUUCAGGCGUUAUCCGGAUUUAUUGGGUUUAAAGGGAGCGCAGGCGGACCUUUAAGUCAGCUGUGAAAUACGGCGGCUCAACCGUCGAACUGCAGUUGAUACUGGAGGUCUUGAGUGCACACAGGGAUACUGGAAUUCAUGGUGUAGCGGUGAAAUGCUCAGAUAUCAUGAAGAACUCCGAUCGCGAAGGCAGGUAUCCGGGGUGCAACUGACGCUGAGGCUCGAAAGUGCGGGUAUCAAACAGGAUUAGAUACCCUGGUAGUCCGCACAGUAAACGAUGAAUACUCGCGAUUUGCGAUACACAGUAAGUCGCCAAGCGAAAGCGAUAAGUAUUCCACCUGGGGAGUACGCCGGCAACGGUGCAA
RNAcentral lists this ribosomal RNA (908 nucleotides) under uncultured bacterium. RNAcentral's name for it is "bacterial SSU rRNA". It matches the Rfam family "Bacterial small subunit ribosomal RNA", at positions 1 to 899 of the family's 1533-position model. RNAcentral also lists the same sequence under 1 other name. The record is from RNAcentral.